This 8709-nucleotide long non-coding RNA is filed under the name Sus scrofa (pig). Its description in RNAcentral is "lncRNA (ENSSSCG00050026017.1)". The record is from RNAcentral. Lineage: Eukaryota; Metazoa; Chordata; Mammalia; Artiodactyla; Suidae.
GGGACCUUCCAUAUGCCAUGAGUGCAGCCCUAAAAACGGAGAGAUUUCUUUGGCCAUUCAUGGUCUUUUCAUUUCCAUGCAAAUUUAAUUUUUUUUGUUCUAGUUUUGUGAAAAAAAAAAGUCAUUUGUAAUUUGAUAGGGAUUGGGGAUUCCACUGAAUCCGUAGAUUGCUUUGGGUAGUACAGUCAUUUUAACAACAUUGAUUCUUCCAGUCCAAGAGCAUGUUCUAUCUUUCCAUCUGUUUGUGUCAUCACUUGAUUUCUUUCAUCAGCAUCUUAUAGUUUUCAGAGUACAAGUGUUUUGCCUCUUCAGGUAGAUUUAUUCCUAGGUGUUGAAUUCUUUUUGAUAGCACUGUAAAUGGAACUGUUUUCCUAAUUUCUCUUUCUGACUUUUCAUUGUUACUUUAUAGGAAUGCAACAGAUAUCUGUGUAUUAAUUUUGACUCCUGCAACUUUACCAAAUUCAUUGAUGAACUCUAAUAGUUUUCUGGUAGCACCUUAAGGAUUUUCUAUGUAUAGUAUCAUACCAUAUGCAAACAGUGACAGUUUUACUUCUGUCCCUUGUUGGUUGCAUUGUUUGCACUAUCUUCUCCCAUCCUAUGGGUUAUCUUUUUGGUUUUUUUUUAUGGUUUCCAUUGCUGUGCAAAAGCCUGUACUUUUGAUUAGGUCCCACUGGUUUAUUAUUUUUAUUUCUAUUGUCUUGGGAGACUGAACUAAGAAAGUGUUUGUAUGGUUUAUGUCACAUGGUUUGUAUAGAAUGUUUCCCUAUUUCUUUUCUAGGAGUUUUAUGGUGUCAUGUCUUAUGUUUGAGUUUAUUGCUGUGCAUGGUGUGAGGGUGUAUUCUAGUUUCACUGAUUUACAUGCAGCUGUCUGGUUUUGCCAGCAUCACUUCCUAAAGAGACUGUCCUUUUCCGAUUUUAUAUUCUUGCCUUCCUUGUCAAAGAUCAAUUGAUCCUAUGUGUCUGGGUUUAUUUCUGGGCUCUCUAUUCUGUUCCAUUCAUCCCUAUGUCUGUUUUUGUGCCAGUACCACACUCUCUUGAUUACCAUAGCAUUGUAAUAUUGUGUGAAGUCUGGGAAAGUUAUGCCUCCUGCUUUGUUGCUGCUGUUUUUUUCCUGCGGAUUGCUUUGGCAAUUCUGGGCCUUUAUGGUUCCAUAUAAAUUUUUGGAUUAUUCGUUCUGGCUUGCUAAAAAAAAUGUCAUGGGUAAUUUAAUAGUGACCACAUUAAAUCUAUAGAUUGCUUUGGGUAGAAUGGCAAUUUUUAAAUAAUAUUAAUUCUUCCAAUCCAGGAACAUGGGAUAUUUCCAUUUCUUUGAAUCCUCUUUAAUUUCCUUGAUUGAUGUUUUGCAGUUUUCAGUGUAUAAGUCUUUCCCUUCCUUGGUUUAUUCCUAGGUAUUUUAUUUUGGGGGGUGUGUUUUUAAAAGGUUUUGUUUCUCUAUAUUUCUUUUCUAAUAUUUCAUUGUUAGCAUACAGAAACACAACUGAUUUCUGAAUGUUAAUCUUGUAUCCUGCUACUUUGAAUUCUUUGAUCUGAUUAAGUAGUUAUUGCAUGGAGUCCUUAGGGUUUUCUAUAUAUAGUAUCAUGCCAUCUGCAUAUAGUGACAAUUUUACCUCUUCUCUUCCAAUAUGUAUACCUUUCAUUUCUUUUGUUUGCAUGACUGCUGUGGCUAGGGCUCCCAAUACUAUGUUGAAUAAAAGUGGUGAGAAUCAGCAUCCUUGUCUUAUUCCAGACUUCAGCAGGAAGUCUGAGCUUCUCUCUGUUGAAUAUUAUAUUGGCUGUGGGUUUGUCAUCAAUGACGUUAAUUCUGUCGAGGUAUUGUCUCUCUAUACCCACCCUGGCAAGAGGUUACCAUGAAUGAAUGCUGGAUUUUAUCUAAUGCUUUUUUUGCAUCUACUGAGAUGAUCAUGUGGUUUGGGCUUUUCCUUCAUUAUCGUGGUAUAUGACAAGAGACUGAUUUGCAUAUGUUCAACCAUCCUUGUAAACUUGGGAUAAAUUCCACUUGGUUGUAGUGGAUAUUUUUUAUGUGUCAUUGGAUUCAGUUUGCUAAAACUCUGUUCAGGACUUUUCAUCUGCAUUCAUCAAAUAUACUGGCCUGUAAUUUUCUUUUUUAGUAGUAUCUUUGUCUGGUUUUGGUAUUAGGUGAUGGUGGCUUCAUAGAAUGUCUUUAGGAAUGUUCCUUUUUAUUCAGUCUUUUGGAAGAGUUUACAAAAGAUGGGUGUAAGUUUUUCUUUGUAUGUUUGGUAGGAUUCUCCUGUGAAGCCAUUUGGUCCUAGACUUUUGUUUGUAGGGAGUGCUUUUAUUACAUAUUCAAUUUCAUUUCUAGUGACUGGUCUAUUCAAAUUAUCUCUUUCUUCUUUACUCAGUUUUGGCGGGCUGUAUUUUUCUAGAAAGUUUUCCAUUUCUUCUAGGUUGUCAAAUUUGUUGGCAUAUAAUUGUAUUUCUGCAGUAUCUGUUGGGAGUCCCACCUUUUCCAUUUCUUAUUGUUUAAUUGCGUUCUCUCUUCUUCUUGAGUCUGGCCAGAGGUUUGUCAGUUUUCUUUUAUAUUUUCAAAGAACCAGCUCUUGGUGUGUUUUUGUUUGUUUGUUUGUUUUUUUAAAUGUUUUAAUCUCUUUUAUUUUUUUUUUAGGGCUGCAGAAAAAUCUGCCAAUAACCUUAUUGGGGUUCCCUUGUAUGUUGUUUCUUUUCCCUAGCUGCUUUCAAUAUUUUCUCUUUGUCUUUAAUUUUGGUCAGUUUGACUAAUAUGUGUCUUGGGGUAGUCCUCCUUGGGUGUAUUUUAUAUGGUACUUGUUGCACUUCCUGGAUUUGAGUGAGUGGUUCCUUUCCCAUGUUAGGGAAGUUUUCGGCCAUUAUCUCUUGAAAUAUUUUUUCUGUCCCCUUCUCUCUCUCUUCUCCUUCUGGCACCCCAUAAUACGGAUGAUGUGGGUGCAUUUAACGUUGUCCCAGACUUGUCUGAGACUGUCUUCAUUUGUUUUCAAUCUUUUUCCUCUUCUGUUCCACAUCCGUGAUUUCCACUAACCUGUCCUCCACCUUGCUUAUUCGUUCUUCUACCUCCCGUAUUGUGCAAUUGGCUGCUUCUAAUGAAUUAUUUCUGUUAUUGUAUUUUGCAUCUCCUCUUGCUUAAGUUUUAUAUCUUGCAUCUCUUUGCUCAGUGUUUCCUGUAAUUUAUCCAUCUUUGCCUCCAGUUUAUUUUCAAUGUCUUGCGUCAUCUUCAGCAUCAACAGUCUAAAGUCUUUUUCCUGGAGAAUGAGAAUCUCCUGAUCACUUGGCUGUUUUUCUGGGGAUUUUUCUUUCUCCCUUAUCUGAGUUAUAGUUCUCUGUCUUUUCAUUUUUAUGGGUUUUUGCUGUGGUGACUUUUACAGAUAAUAGAGUUGUAGCCUCUCUUACUUCUGAUGUCUGCCCCCUGUGGCUGAAGUCAGUAUGGGGGGCUUGCUGUAGGCUUCCUGAUGGGAGGGACUGAUGCCUGCCCACUGGUGGGUGGAGCCUAUUCUAAUCCCUCUGGUGGGUGGGGCUUUGUCUGGUGAGAUUAGAGGUGGCUGUGUGCCUGGGGGCUGGGGUCUUUAAGCAGCUUGUUUACUGAUGGAGGGAGCUGUGAUUCCACCUGGAUUGUUGUUUGGCUUGGGGCUUUUCAGCGCUUAUGGGUGGGGCCAGAUUUUUCCAAAAUGGCCACCUCCAGAGAAACACAUGCUGAUGAAGAUUCCCAAGAACCUUGUUUCCAAUGUCCUUCCCCCACAACAAGCCACAUUCACCUCUGCCUUCCCAGGAGGUCCUCCAAGAACCACAGCCAGGCCCAACCCAGAUUCCCACAGAGACCCUGCUUUGCCCUGGGACCCAGUGCAUGUGAAAGUUUGUGCGCACCUUCCAAGAAUGGGGUCACCACCUACCCCAGUCCCGUGGAGAUCCUGCACACAAACCCCACUGGCCUUCAAUGCCAGAUGCUCCAGGGGCUCUUUCUCCCAGUGCCAGAUCCCCCAGUGUGGGGGUUUGAUGUUGGGCUCAAAACUCUCACUCCUGUAGGUGAGUCUCUGUGCUACGGUUACUUUCCAGUCUGUGGGGCUUCCCACCCAGGAGCUAUGGGGUUGCUUAGAUCAUGUAAUCGCCCCUCCUACCUCUGGAUGUGGCCUUCUCUUUUUGAAAGUUUCAGGUCUGUGGGGCUUCCCACCCAGGAGCUAUGGGGUUGCUUAGAUCAUGUAAUCGCCCCUCCUACCUCUGGAUGUGGCCUUCUCUUUUUGAAAGUUUCAGGUCCGUUUGGUUGAAGAUUGCUCGGCAUUUGGUUGUAAAUUUUGUUGUUUUUAGUAGAGACAUUGAGCUCCAUUCCUUCUAUUCUGCAAUCUUAAUCCCAUCUCUGGCCUUUGUUUUAAAGUCUAUUUUGUCUGGUAUGAGUAUUGCAAAUCCCACUUUCCUGUCAAUUUCAUUCAUGUGAAAUAUUUUUUUUUCUAUCCCCUCGCUUUCAAUUUAUAUGUGUCUUUGCCCUAAGGUUAGUCUUUCGUAGGCAGCAUAUUGUAAGCUCUUGUUUUUUUAAUCCAGUCUGCCACUCUGUCUUUUCACUGGAGCAUUACGUCCACUAACAUUUAAGGUAAUUAUUGAUAAACAUGUAUUUACUGACAUUUUAAACAUGUAUUUACUGACAUUUAUUUACUGAUAUUAGUUGGGUUUGUUUUCCAGUUGAUUCUGUCUCUCCUUUGUUCUUUGUUCUUUUUUUGGUUGGAUAAUUUCAUUUUAUGCUUGUGUCCUCUUCUUUUUAGUUUUUGUGAUUGUAUUGUUUGUUUUUGAUUUGCGUUUUUUUUUCAUGUUUACCCCUUCCUGCUAUCUGCUUUCUUUAGCCUACGAGUCAUAUAGGCACAAACACAUUCUAAACUAAAAGAGAGUCUAGAUUUUCUUGCUUUCCUUUACCACAUUUUAUGAUUUGGAUGCCUUCAUGUUUAUCCUUUUGCUGUGUUUAUCAUUGCUUUUACAAAUAGGGUUUUUUUUUUUCCCUUUAGAUCUGUAUACUGGCUUAUUUAAGUGAUUACUUUGCAGCUGUUACUUCCUCCAUCCUAUAUCUUCUUUCCUACUUAGAGAAGAACUUUCAGUAUUUCUUCUAGAAUGGUUUUAGUAUUGCUGUAUUCUUUUAGUUUUUGUUUGUUGGAGAAAUUCUUUAUUUAUCCUUCUACUUUAAGUGAUAACCUUGCUGGGUAGUCUAGGCUGCCAGUUUUUGCCUUUUAGAACUUUGAAUACAUCCUUCCACUCUCUUAUGGCCCGUAGUGUUUCUGUAGAGAAAUUAGCUGAUAGCCUUAUGUAGGUUCCUUUAUAACUAACUCUUUGUUUUCCUCUUGCUGCCUUUAUUUUUAUUUAUUUUUUUCUUUUUAGGGCUGAACCUGCAGCAUAUGGAAGUUCGUGGGCUAGGAGUGGAAUUGGUGCUGCAGCUGCAGGCCUACACCAUCACAACACCAAAUCCGAGCCACAUCUGCAACCUACAGCACAGCUCAUAGCAAUGCCAGAUCCUUAACCCACUGAGCAAGGCCAGGAAUCAAACCUGCACCCUCAUAGAUAUUAGUUGGGUUUGUUACUGCUGAGCCACAAUAGGAACUCCUCUUGCUGAUUUUAGAAUCCUCUCAUCUUUAACUUUUGCCAUUUUUAUUACAAUAUGCCUCGGUGUAGACCUGUUUGGGUUCAACUUGUUUGGGGCCCUCUGUACUUCCUGUAUCUUGACAUCUGUUUCCUUUAGGUUUGAAAAGUUUUUAACUAUAAUUUCUUCAAAUAUAUUUUCAAUCUCCCUUUCUUUUUCUUCUCCUUCUUCAAUCCCUAUUAUGUGUAGAUUGGCCUGCUUUACAUUAUCACAUAGAUCUCAGACUGCUUUCAUGUUUUUUUCAUUUGGUUUUCUGUCUGCUGUCCUGAUUGGGUGAUUUCCAUUAUUCUAUCUUCCAAGUCAGUUCAUUCCUCUCUUCAAUGCCUUUAACUCAGCUUGUGUCUCUGUAAAUGAAUUUUCCAAUUUUUCUUGGCUCCUCUUUGUAGUUUCUAGUUCCUUUCUAAAAUAAUCUGAAUUACUGUUCAUAAAGGCUUUUAAUUCCUUCAGUUUUUCACUGCUUCCUUUUUGAACUUGGUGUCUGGUAGACUACAGAGAUCUGUUUCAUUGUCUGCUCCUUCAGAGGAAUUAUCCUGUUCUUUUAACUGGGAAUGGUUCCUAAGAGUCUUCAUUUUACUUCUAUUUUUCUUAUUCUGUGAGUUUAGGGAAAACGGCUAUCUACUGGAGGGCUAUUUAUAUGGGACAGCACCCAAGUAGCUUGUGAGGGUUUUUUUUGGGGGGGUGUGUGAAGGCUGAUUUUAGUUUGUAUGCUUGCUCUCUCUUCCCUCAGUGUGUUCAGGCUGUUAUCCCCUUAAUAGGGGGUGUGCUGGUGUAUGACCUGUAUGUGCUUCCAAGAAGAUGGAGGUGAUGGGCAGGGCCUGUAGCCAGUGCCUGGAUGAUGGGCCUUGACAGUGGUGAGGACACACAGGGAUGUGGAAGCACAGGUUGCUCCUGGUUGCAGGGCCCUGGGCAGUGGCAGUGACUCUUAGGGAGGUGGAGGUGGCACCCAGAGCCUUUGGUAGAGGCAACAUCAGGGCAUAUGCAUUCUCAGAGAAGUGAAGGCAAAGGGUGUUGCUUGGUUGCAGUGCCCUUCUUGUCAGUGACUCCUGAGGUGACUGAGGCUGCAGGUGGUGCCUACUGCCAGGACUCCUCGUGGUGGUUGGCUGUGCCCACCUCUGGAGUCCAAGACAACUGCAGUGACUGCAGUGGUUUAUAUCCACCGCCUGAGAACCCAUGCACCCACAUAGAGAAAAAUGUCCCUAUGGUAUCCCGCCCAUCCUCCUCUUACCCUCCCCAACAAUGUUUCCUUAAUUCUCCUGUGGGCCCAGGCCUUCUCCUGUACUUCCUCAGCUAUGGCACUCCACUCCCCAGCUGUGGCAAGCAGCUCCCUAGCUCCUCAGGUUGUCUUUACAUAGCCAACCCUAGUCCUCUCCCCAAAACUGACUUCUGAGGCCUGAGUCUUAGCACCCAGACCCCUCCUGAGCAUCUCGGGCUGUGGUGUCCCAGGCAGUGGCACUGAUGGUCUGUGCAGUUCUCUCUGCUUUGCCCUCCUCAGUCUGGCUGCUGCACUUUUCUCCAAGGCUUUGAGGUUUCCCCUCUGUUCUGAUUAGUAAGGUGGCCUCCAAGGGCACAAAUUCCUUUCCUCUUUCACAGCUUCCUCUCAGGAGUGCUUGUCCUGUACUAAUUCCUUUUCUCUCUCUUUUUUCCCUUUUGUUCUACCCAUUUAUGUAGAGAGUUUCUUGCCCUUUUUGGAGGUCUAAGGUCUUCUGCCAGUGUUCAGUCUUGGAAGUUUGUACCUUUUUAAGAAUCUGUACCUUUCUUCUAAGUUGUCCAUUUUAUUUGUAUAUAGUUGCCUGUGGUUGUCUCUUAUGAUCCUUUGUAUUUCUAUGGUGUCAGUUGUACUUUUUCAUUUCUGAUUUUAUUGAUUUGAGCCCUUUAUUUUUCUUAAUGAGUCUGGCAAAAGUUUAUCAAUUUUGUCGAUUUUUCCAAAAGAACCAACUUUUGGUUUCAAUGAUCUUCUCUAUUGUUUCUUCUUCUCUAUUUCAUUUAUUUCUGCUCUGAUCUUGAUGAUUUCCUUCCUUCUAUUCACUUUGGGUUUUGUUCUUUCUCUAGUUGCGUUAGGCGUAAGGUCAGGUUGGUUGUUUACUUGAGAUUUUCCUUGUUUCCUAAGACUAUAUUGCUAUAAACUUCCCUCUUUGAACUGCUUUUGCUGUGUCUCAUAGAUUUAUACCUCCUGUGUGUCUAAUUCAGACAAGCCACAUUUCAAGGUUUGAUAUCCAUGUGAAACUUGUCGCCUCCAUGCAGACAGCAAAGGUUUAGUCCAUGAUUCAGUCAGUCAGUACCCUGGGUUAUCUCCUCAUUAAAGCUAUAAUUAAUGACUUAUUAACUCCUGUUGCCCAGGAGUCUGUCCAUAUUCCAGCCACAAUUUUCUGCUUCGAUAAUACUGUUUCUGAUACUUGGGAUCCUGCAUCCCUGACCAUCAUAGACAAUGUCCCUCCUCUACAUGAGUUUACAUACUAGCAUCUGCCCUGGGCAAUAAGUUUGUAAACAAAGAAGAAUAUACAGUAGUUGCUGCCAGUAAGAAGCAAUAUGAAGAAGACAAAACAAGAUAUUUAAUAAGCCUUUUCUUUAGGCUGUCUGAACUCUUGGCAAGGAGUGGCCCUUGGUGUUGACAGACUCUGCACUCUGUUCUGAGGAAGACAUGUGUACUAGGCCCGGAGUAUAGUACAGUAUAGUAUAGGGAUGGGGCUGAGGAUCCUCCUGGAUCCUGAGAGUUUCCACACACUUGUAUUCUCAGAACACAGUCUCUUACUGGCUCAGAUAUCAGUUGUGGGGAUGGUUUCCUACCAAUGAACAGAAUCAUCUUAUAGGAAAGGGCACAGAUCUGAGACUCAGUAGACAUGAUUGCACAUAAUAAUCUCCUGCUUAUUAGCUCUGAACAAGCCCUUUAGCCUAUGUGGGGGCCUCAAUUUCCUCUAUGCUCCCUAGGCUUUAUUUCAUGAUUUAAUGCUUAUACCAGUGGAGCUUUAUGGCUUGUAGAUCACAUGAAAGACCAAUGACAGUGGACACUGAGGAUCUCAGAGGAUAGAAGAGAGUAAGUCCAGUGGGCAGGGCUUCUUAUAGAAGAACAGAGAGCACAAGGUGGGCAUUUGACCAGCAAAAAAAAAAAA